AACAGGAGAAGCCCCUGCUUGCCACAACUAGAGAAAGCCUGUGCGCAGCAACAAAGACCCAACGUGGCCAAAAACAACAACAACAAAAAGCUUGUCCUUGAACUCUUGGCUACGCUCCCCAGCGGGGGCUACACCCCUGGCCUUUGUGUCCACCUCCAUCGACAGAUGGGCCUGCAGGCUCACUUCUGAGCCUGCCUUAGCAAAGGCCACGGGCUCCCCUGGACCCCCCGGCACUCAGUGCAAGACACUUGCCAUCUCAGUGGGGGCGGAGAGAGGGGGAGAGAGAGAGGAUGCACAGAAGCCCCAGGGCUCUAGCUGGCGGUUUGUGUCUUCCCAACUCAGGGGCCAGCUUGUGGGUGAAGAAGCUUCGGAUGGUCUGGGGGCGGCUGCAGGGAGGCCUUGAGGAGCGCUGCCCGGCUGAGCCAGGACAGCCGCAGCCAUGGGAGGUAGUCAGGAUGGCUGAGAGGUGCUUAGUCCUGCCACAUUUGGGAUGUUUUUGCUGGUAUCUAGAUGCCGUGUGAGUCUGCUAGGGCCGCCGUAACAAGCACCCGGACAUUUAUGGUCCUGUGUCCUGGAGGCGGGAAGUCCGAGAUGGAGGUGUCGCAGGGCUGGUCCCCCCGAGGCCUCUCUCCUGGGCGUGUAGAUGGCCGUGUCCUCCCAUGUCCUCACGUGGCCGUCCCUGUGCGUGUCUGUGCCCUGAUCUCCUCCUCCUAUAAGGACACCAGUCACGCUGGAUCGGGGCUCACCCUAUGGACUCAUUUCACCUUAAUCACCUUUAAGACCCCAUCUCCAAGUACAGUCACAUCUUGAGGACCGCAACACCCAGAUUUUGGAGGAACACAGUUCAGCCCAGAGCAGACGCCCAGAUGGAGGGAGAGGGGGUCGUAGCCAGAGGACGAGCCUCUGGCCCCCUUGGCCCCAUUGGUCUCUGUGCAGGAGGAACAAUUUCAGGCGCCUUCAAGAAACCCAGCUUAAGAGGGAAAAUUAGAGGCUUGUCGUCCGGUCGCUGUGCUCUGGGAGCUGAUCUAAGGAUGUACAGACCCAACUCAGUGAAUUCCGGCUGCCCUACUUGGAGGCGAUGUAGCUAUUCCCAAUUUAAAAAGAACCAAAGCUGAAAACCUAUGUCCACAGACAAACUUGUGCAUGAGUGUCCGUUGCAGCAUUACUCAUAAUGGCCCCAAAUGGAAGCUGCCCAAAGAGCCACUGACCCGUGAAGAAGGGACACACAGAUGUGGUGUCCACACAAUGGAGUAUUGUUCGGCCCUGAA
Molecule: long non-coding RNA, 1268 nt
Organism: Aethalodelphis obliquidens (Pacific white-sided dolphin)
Lineage: Eukaryota; Metazoa; Chordata; Mammalia; Artiodactyla; Delphinidae
Exons: 3
Source: RefSeq, a predicted model, not a curated record